Molecule: long non-coding RNA, 800 nt
Filed under: Canis lupus dingo (dingo)
Lineage: Eukaryota; Metazoa; Chordata; Mammalia; Carnivora; Canidae
Description: lncRNA (ENSCAFG00020025124.1)
Source: RNAcentral
ACAUUUGACUCAAACCAGCCUUGUCCAGUUCCUGGAAUUGUGGGCCUGCAAGUUUUGGAGUAGGGUAGAAGUCAGUGAAGAAGAUAUGACACCAGGGACCCCAGUAUACAGGUGAAGCUAUUUGCUCCUAAUGCUAAGCAGAUGUACAUGGUUAAUCACUUGAAAGAGAGCCCAGCAGAAGAGAAGGGACAUGUGCUGGAGGGAAGUGCCAGGAGAGCCCAUGGGGACAUACAAGAUUUGGCAGACCUGUGCUCCAGCAAGCUUGAUGCUGUCAUUAUACUGGUGGUUUUGAGUGGCCCAGAACUGCCCUGUCAACAGUUCUGUAAAGGACUCUUUCAAGUUACAUUUCCCAUGUGCUGGCAGCUAACACCUUCCUGCUUGUGAGGUCACAGUGUGUCAGGGUAAUAAUGUAAUUGGAGUGGGGGAAAAGAAUGAAAAGCUUACUGCUGGCCAAGAGGUUCUACAGUACUUUCCCAUUUUCCUUCCUCCAAAUGAAUAUAAAUGUGACUGCUCUUCUGGUAGCUCAACAAAUGAUCUUUCAUUUUGGGGCUGCCAUAUUUGGUAAUUGACACUGGGUGGGGUGGGAGUGGACAUGGUAAGGGAUGGUUCUUUAAGGUGAGGAGACCAGAUGGCUUUAAAUCAUAGGGAAAAUGUAUUCUUUCAAAAUAUACUGGCCUACUCUGUAAGAAAAAAAUUUCAAUAUAGCCGUUCUUUUGUAUGAUAUCAUUCAGCUGUAUGGAUCAAAUUAUCCUUGCUUUAAUGAUUUCCUAUUGAUCCUAGUACACACAGCCUUCAUUUCU